This 465-nucleotide ribosomal RNA is filed under the name uncultured bacterium. RNAcentral describes it as "bacterial SSU rRNA". It matches the Rfam family "Bacterial small subunit ribosomal RNA", at positions 338 to 795 of the family's 1533-position model. The record is from RNAcentral.
CCUACGGGUUGCACCAGUGGGGAAUAUUGCACAAUGGGCGCAAGCCUGAUGCAGCCAUGCCGCGUGUAUGAAGAAGGCCUUAGGGUUGUAAAGUACUUUCAGUUGGGAGGAAGGCGUUGAUGCUAAUGUCAUCAGCGAUUGACGUUACCAACAGAAGAAGCACCGGCUAACUCCGUGCCAGCAGCCGCUGUAAUACGGAGGGUGCAAGCGUUAAUCGGAAUUACUGGGCGUAAAGCGCACGCAGGCGGUUGAUUAAGUUAGAUGUGAAAUCCCCGGGCUUAACCUGGGAAUGGCAUCUAAGACUGGUCAGCUAGAGUCUUGUAGAGGGGGGUAGAAUUCUAUGUGUAGCGGUGAAAUGCGUAGAGAUGUGGAGGAAUACCGGUGGCGAAGGCGGCCCCCUGGACAAAGACUGACGCUCAGGUGCGAAAGCGUGGGGAGCAAACAGGAUUAGAUACCCGGGUAGUC